CCUACGGGUGGCAGCAGUGGGGAAUAUUGCACAAUGGGGGAAACCCUGAUGCAGCGACGCCGCGUGAGUGAAGAAGUCAUUCGUGAUGUAAAGCUCUUUCAGCAGGGGAGAAAAUGACGGUACCUGAGUAAGAAGCAGCGGCUAACUACGGGAACGCAGCCGCGGUAAUACGUAGGGAGCAAGCGUUAUACGGAUUUACUGGGUGUAAAGGGGGCGUAGACGGCAGUGCAAGUCUGGAGUGAAAGGCGGGGGCUCAACCCCCGGACUGCCCUUGAAACUGUACGUCUUGAGUGCAGGAGAGGUACGUGGAAUUCCUGGUGUAGCGGUGAAAUGCGUAGAUAUUAGGAGGAACACCAGUUGCGAAGGCAGCUUACUGGACUGUAACUGACGUUGAGGCUCGAAAGCGUGGGGAGCAAACAGGAUUAGAUACCCCAGUAGUC
Molecule: ribosomal RNA, 440 nt
Filed under: uncultured bacterium
Lineage: Bacteria
Description: partial 16S ribosomal RNA
Rfam family: Bacterial small subunit ribosomal RNA
Source: RNAcentral